Long non-coding RNA from Mastomys coucha (southern multimammate mouse), 746 nucleotides. RefSeq lists it as uncharacterized. The record is from RefSeq and is a predicted model, not a curated record. The transcript is spliced from 4 exons. NCBI's taxonomy places the organism in Eukaryota, Metazoa, Chordata, Mammalia, Rodentia, Muridae.
CACUGUUUCGUCAAUGAAGUUGUCUCAUCAAGUGCCUGAUGAAGACACUUAAGGGAGGAAGAGUUGAUUCUGGAUGCUAUUGCUCACAUUCGGGGUAGUUCUUCAUCUUCAGCUUCUGAGAUGGGGGUCUCUCAAUUACUCUGGAACAUGCUAAUUCACUAGAUCUCCUGGCCAGUUAACUCCAGGGAUCCACUUGUCUCAGCCUCUACAGUUCUGAGCUUACAGUCCCACACUGUAGGUCCAGAGGGGUGUGGAACCCGCCACCACAUUGAGUGGUUGCUGCCACAUGGGUUAAACCCACAGGACUUAACAUCGGCCCGACAAGUCUACCUGUUACACACUUUCCGGUCAUCAGAUUGUUUCUCUCCAUCCAAACACCAGUGAUUUGACCCUGACCUGAACCUGCCAACUCCUUAAUGUCACCCAACCUGGCCACUUUAAAGAUUGCUGGCUAUGUAUACCCCCUGGAAUUUACUCACAAUUGCCACUUACUGCUUCUCCAGUGACCCUGUCAAGUAAUCCUGCUUCACCUUUCAUCAGCUGCUCCAACUCUGGUGUUGCCAGGACCCCAUACCUUUUCUCUAUAUCUUUUUUUUGGCAUGACAGACUGUUUUAAGGCAUUCUGUAGGAAUACUAAGCUCUCUAGACUGCUACAGAACCAUAACCCUUGAUACCUCAUCUCUGCCACAGUUCCCUACAGUCCAAAAUAUGUCAAUUCUCUUUGGUUCUCUUUGGUAUAUCAUCAU